RNA transcript from Solanum pennellii, 4015 nucleotides. RefSeq lists it as uncharacterized. The transcript is spliced from 4 exons. Lineage: Eukaryota; Viridiplantae; Streptophyta; Magnoliopsida; Solanales; Solanaceae. The record is from RefSeq and is a predicted model, not a curated record.
UAUUAUUACCAAACAAAAAAAACUUGAGCUUUCAAUGAAACUUUUUGCUAACCAAAAUGAUAUCUGAAGCUUCUCAUGGACGCCCAAAAGGGAGGAAACUGGGGAAAUGUAGUGAAAUUUCAAGCAAAGAUUCAAUGGGGUGUUUGCCAGAAGAACUGAUCGAAGCAAUUCUUGUAAGGAUUCCAGUUAAAUACCUCUGACAGUUCAAAUGUGCUUUCAAAAAUUGGUUUAAUUUGAUUUCCAUCCCUGAUUUUGUGAAAACCCAUCUUAGUUUUUCUGCUAAGGAUUACACCCGCCAUAUCUCUGUUACAAUUUGAAGAUAUUUAAUAUUGUUCUCUUUAUUUCAUGACUCUGUUAUUGAGGCACUUGAUUUGGAUUGUCCCAUGAAAAAUCCACCUCAACGUGUUCAAAUUUCGGGUUUUGUUAAUGGCUUGGUUUGUCUCACUCAGGGGUGUCAAAAAUGAACCCACUCACAGGUAACUUAUCCAACCCGGUGUUAAAAAUGAUCCCAAUCAUAGGUAACCGCUCAACUCGUCUAGAAUUUUAAGAGUUGGGCUCAAGAUAAUUUAAAUUGGGUUCAAUCUCAGUCAAUUCAAGCUUAACCCAAUUGAAGAGAAUUCUCAAUUGAGCCCAAUUCAAUCUCCAAUUUCAACCUGUUUUAAAAUUUUUUAUUAAGAUAUGUUCCUAUAUUAAAAGUAUGAAUUAUUAUCUAUUUAACAUCUUUUAGGAUUUAUCUAUCAAUAUGUUACUUUUUUUAAUUAAAAAUUCUUGAGCGGAAAUUCAAAUUGUAAUUAUAAAAGUUAAAUAUCAAUAUGUUAAAUUAGUGAAAUUAAUUGGGUUAAAUUGGCGGGUCAAGACCCAACCCGUUUUUUAGCCUAUUUGAGUCCAAAGUAAACUUGAGCGGGUCAAGACCCAACCCAAUUUCAAUUCAACACAUUCAAAUAUUUUCAUUUUCAACCCAACCCGCCCAUUUGACACCCCUAGUCUGUCUGAUGGGUAUGGUUGGUUGGUGCUAUGGAAUCCAUCUAUUAGAAAGUUCAAGAAAGUUUUCGGCUUUGUUCCUACACAGAUGGGUUACAUCUGGUCCAAGUGUGGUUUUGGAAUAUGAUGAGGUUCAUGACGAUUAUAAAGUAGUGGGUAUUUUUAGCAACAUGGUUAAGGCCAAUUUCGAGGCCGUGAUAUAUAGUUUAAAGAGGGAUUCUUGCAGAACACCUAAAAAUUUUAUACCUGGGGUGUGUUACUAUGGAUUACUUAUCGUAGAAGUGGUUGGGGCAUCACGUCUAUUGAUAUGGUUGAUGAGAAAUGGGGAAAGGUGGAUCUGCCCAAUUACAAAGAAGGAGAUGAUUUGAAUCUCCGAGUGUUGGGAAGUGAUCUUUCGGUCCUCUGUCAUAGUGAUGAGAGAACUCACUCUGAUGUGUGAGUAAUGAAGGAAUAUGGAGUUAAAGCGUCUUUGGACAAAACUGUAUACCAUCAGGUAUCCUGAGAACUAUGAGCUUUCUCUGCCCCUUUUCACGUAUAAUAAAGGUGAAAUUCUGCUCGCGUUUAAAUCAACUUUAGGGAUAUACGAUCCAAAGAAUGACUCUAUCACAUAUCCAGAGGUUCCUGAUGAUGAGGUUACUGGUUUUUACGACAGAAUUAAGGCAGAACUUUGCAUCAAAAGCCUAGUUUGUCCGGAUUUACCAAACGAAGAUUGGAAGAUGUCAGAACUCAGGUGAAUGCCUCUUGUAAUAGUUAACAGCUUGGAAACUUGCACGUGUGGUUCUGGCCGGGGACCCCGGUAUACUGUACUAAUAUGUGUAGGUUCCCGUAAUUCGAGUGAGAUUGUCAUGGCGCAAAAGCAGAUAUGGUCCGAAGAACUAGGAAAUGGAAGUCUGCUGUUACUGAUCUGAUCUUUUCUUUCCUGGGUGUGGACGAGACAAAGAAAAGUCUUCUUAGUCUUCCGCUUUUUCGAUGAUAUCUAUAAGAAGGAAUACCUGUCAUAAGGUAAACAGGAGUUCCCGGCUCAAGCGAAAUGAUACCGGCUGAAGGUAAGUAAAUUCUUUAGUUUAGGGAAGGAAUCCACUCUAAAAGCUAGUCUUCUUUUAGCCAAAGAAUCCGAUGCAGUUAGCGAGAGUCGUGGUAGUUCAGUUCUAAGGAAAGGCAGUUCAGUCAUCCGCGGGUAGAAAUCCUAAAAAAGGAAAGUAUGCUAUCUCUCCUAGCCUUCUUUCUUGCUCUGAUUCCAUUUCCUGCACCAAGCCAAGUUAGCUCAUCAUAGGGCUUUUUUUUUUUUAAGAAAGGCUUAAGUUCUUCCUUUAUUAAGGUAAGGUCCGAGAGUAAGAUGGCUUUUUUUUCCCAGCUCUUCUGACUAUGCUUUCUGUGGUAGCUAGGCAAAGUCCAGGUUAUAUCAAAGCAGACUACUUCCUGGUGGUUUAGUAAGGGUUUUAGGAAAAGGCGUAACUGCUCUUGUCGGAAGGGCAGGGCUACUAUACUAUAUGGUAAAUAUCUCCCACACCUGGACCAGGCUAAAAACGAUGAGUCUUCUCUUUUCAGGGUUAGACUCUAUAGAACCAGAACAAUAGACUGAUUGACUGUGGUCAGGUCAGAGCCUUUUAUUGUCUGUUGGAGGAGAUUGAUUGGACUUUAUACCGCACCUUACUUAGUCUUCCGCCGGAACUGGAUUCUCUAAAUCUUAAAUAGAAGUACCCCUCGGGGGAGGAUUGAAUAAGGAAUUUACUUCUCUAAAUCGAAAAAGGAGAAAAAACAAUUUCAUAUGUCGGCAGCAAUCUUCUCUUCCCUCUCAAUUUUAAAUUCUAAUCUUUUUAUUUUAAGGGGUCAGGAUCUUAUUCUUUACGUGAUCUUUCUCUCAAAUUAAAUCUCUGUAAACCAAAAGCACACAACUCGCAAGCAAACUGUAGAUUUACAUGGAAAUUUUUCUUGUUUAUGACUCCAUAAGAAAUGAACAUUUUACCUGGAAAAUAGGUUGAUGCGGGCUUACUUUGAAACCAACUUGUAGGAGCUUAAACUGGUAUUUAGCUCUUAAAUUUGCCUCGUCAAUAAGAAUAACAACUUAUACCUGCUGUAAGACCCACAACGGAAUUCAUAUUCUACACUAUACUAGUACCCUUUGUUUCCCAUUCAACUACAUAAAGAAUUUUUCUGUAUCAUUUUUAUCUGUAUUUGGUGCAUCUGAAAUGAUCAAUAGGUUAAGUUGCCUAUUUUUAUAACGGGAUUGAGGCCAAAUAUUUCAUCACAUCUGAAACAUAACAUUGGCUCUCUUUUUUGUGCAAAUUUUGAAUCAUACAACUUUUUGAAUUGUCCCUCGGAUUUUGCUCCUGAAGUUGCCUUGAAGCUAGUCGAUUUUGCUGUCAUCUGCCAUGGUGAAUCAGUGUUAUGCCUUCUGCUCAAACUCUUGAGUCACUUGUGUCAAGUAUGUUUGCGACUCGAGGAUAAUUGGGUCUGAACCCAACUGAUUUAUAGCUUGAACUUCCUCUACUUGGUUCAAAUUAAAAACCCUGAACUUGCUGCAAAACAGAAUUGUGAUCCUGAUCCCCUAUUUAGCCAUCUCCAUUAUCUCCCUCAAUGUUUCAGCCCAUUCAAAAACAUUGAGGCGGUAACCUGCUAGGCAAAGUUGUAGUAGAAUCAUACAUAUGAUCAGGGGAACAUAUAUACUUACUAGCUGAUGCUUUAGCAACUACCUAGGAGAAGCAGAUGCAAGCUUUUUCUUCAAUAGCCGACCAAAUGACUACAGGAUCAUCAGUCUACUCUAGCGAACCUUAUACAAAAGCUUUUUCCGUACUAGGAAGUAUGAUUACAUAGUUGCAGGUUGUAAAAGCUCUACUGCUACUUAAUUUUGUUGAAGGAUGCAAGAAAAACUCAUGAAUUGAACAGCAGAAAAUUAAACUUGUUAGUUUUGGAAUGUAAUAAUACUAGUUUAUGCUCUUGUAUUUUUGUUUUCGUUUUUAGAUUAUGCUUGCUGUACACAAUUAGAUGUUUGAUAACUUGCUCUACAAUAUCUACAGUUCAUGUUGUACGGUCA